Molecule: ribosomal RNA, 279 nt
Filed under: uncultured bacterium
Lineage: Bacteria
Description: partial 16S ribosomal RNA
Rfam family: Bacterial small subunit ribosomal RNA
Source: RNAcentral
UGCCAGCAGCCGCGGUAAUACGGGAGUGGCAAGCGUUAUCCGGAAUUAUUGGGCGUAAAGCGUACGUAGGCGGAUUAGUAAGUUAGAGGUGAAAUCCCGGGGCUCAACCCCGGAACUGCCUUUAAAACUGCUAGUCUAGAGUUAUGGAGAGGUAAGUGGAAUUCCUAGUGUAGAGGUGAAAUUCGUAGAUAUUAGGAGGAACACCAGAGGCGAAGGCGACUUACUGGACAUAUACUGACGCUGAGGUACGAAAGUGUGGGUAGCAAACAGGAUUAGAUA